This is a long non-coding RNA of Neofelis nebulosa (Clouded leopard), 384 nucleotides long. RefSeq lists it as uncharacterized. The record is from RefSeq and is a predicted model, not a curated record. NCBI's taxonomy places the organism in Eukaryota, Metazoa, Chordata, Mammalia, Carnivora, Felidae. The transcript has 2 exons.
UGGAUAGGGCUGGGCAGUCUGAUUCUUUCACAUCUAAGACUAAAUAAUAGACAGCUGCAGAUUCCUGAGGAAUACCAGAAGAACAACAUAGACAGGGCAUGAGUGGGGAAGGGGCAGAGAGAGAGGGAGACACAGAAUCCGAAGCAGGUUCCAGGCUCUGAGCUGUCAGCACAGAGCCCGACACGGGGCUCGAACUCACGAACCGCGAGAUCAUGACCUGAGCUGAAGUCGGACGCUCAACCAACUGAGCCACCCAGGCGACCCGCAAUCUCUUUAUUUCUUAAAGAGAAUUCCUGCUUCUCUCCAAAUCAUCACAGAUGUCCUACCUUUGUGUCAUUUGAUCUACUUCUUUUGAAUAAAUAGCUUCAAAGAGUUACUUCCAAA